GCGGAGGAAAAGAAACCAAACCGGAUGCCCCCAGUAGCGGCGAGCGAACAGGGCCGAACCCAAACGUGAAAACGCGAUGUCGCGUGUUGUCGUGUGUCGGCUCCGGAUCAACCCCGCAGCGCCCUCCGACGAAAUGGCCAUGGAACUGGCUGCCUCAGGCGGGUGAGAGACCCGAUCGGUGGGCGUCGGGACACCGGAGUCCGUCGGAGUCGAAUUGCUUGAGAUCGCAGUUCCAAAGGGUGGUGAGCGCCAUCCAAGGUUGAAUACGAGCGGGAAUCCGAUAGCGAAGAAGUACCGUGAGGGAAAGCUGAAAAGGACUUUGGAAAGAGAGUGAAAAGUACCCGAAACUGCGCAUGCGGAACCGCUUUCGACGACGUCUCGGACGUGUGCCCGUCGGCCCACGCGUGGCUCGCCGUCUUGGAGUCUCCUUCGGCGUC
This 437-nucleotide ribosomal RNA is filed under the name Halimeda cylindracea. RNAcentral's name for it is "eukaryotic LSU rRNA". It matches the Rfam family "Eukaryotic large subunit ribosomal RNA", at positions 50 to 492 of the family's 3401-position model. The record is from RNAcentral. Lineage: Eukaryota; Viridiplantae; Chlorophyta; Ulvophyceae; Bryopsidales; Halimedaceae.